Molecule: ribosomal RNA, 274 nt
Filed under: uncultured bacterium
Lineage: Bacteria
Description: partial 16S ribosomal RNA
Rfam family: Bacterial small subunit ribosomal RNA
Source: RNAcentral
AUACGGAGGAGACUAGCGUUGUUCGGAAUUACUGGGCGUAAAGAGUUCGUAGGCGGACUGAUAAGUAAGAGGUGAAAUCCCAGGGCUCAACCCUGGAACUGCCUUUUAAACUGUCAGUCUAGAGACCGGAAGAGGUUAGGGGAAUACCUAGUGUAGAGGUGAAAUUCGUAGAUAUUAGGUGGAACACCAGUGGCGAAGGCGCCUAACUGGUCCGGUAUUGACGCUGAGGAACGAAAGCGUGGGGAGCAAACAGGAUUAGAAACCCUAGUAGUCC